AGAAAAAAAAAGAAAGAAAAAAGCUGCCCGUGCCACCACAGAGGUUUCACAAUUACAGUAUUAGCAAAUACACUCACACACUUACACGCAUUUUAUGUUAACAGUACGGCCCGUUAAGCGAAACAACGCUUAAUUCUGUGAAAUAUUUUCUCCAUUACCUUGUUUUUUUCCCUCAGACUGCACUAUUAAUUUAGUAUAUCAACAAACACGAAAACGUAAACAAGACACUAACCAGAGGUAAACAGCCGGAAGGGAAAAUUCCUAAAGGACGCGUGAGUGGCUGGAGUGACGCAGCUGAGGUCGCCCUCUUUCGGACACGCAGACCUUUUCCACAACACCAGGACUGAAGAGUGUCGAGAGGAGCCGUGUCAAGGUAGACUCUUGCAGCUGGAGCAAACAGGUCCCAGCACCAUGACCUCACACAGCAGGACAGCCUCCUCUCGAUGGAUUGUUCAAAACAUGAGGAGAAAGAAGGGGAAAAGGAGAAGUCCCAUUCAAUGCAAGACCUUCCUUCCAUUCUAAGAAGAAGGGCGCCGUCCUUGGCUAGUGCAUGACGAACAAUAGCAGAGCGGCACAGAGCGGGGCCAUGGCCCAAACUCUUCACUCGCGUGACCGUUUGGGACUUGAAAAUAUUCCAUUACGAGAGAACUAUUGUUUACAAAGACCUUUCAUACAGGACAGAGAGCACUGUGAACUCUCGAGUACAUGGGGCAUACCGCAAUGGAUUCACAUAUUUCGUUAUCAUGCAGAACUACAUCUCAAAUGAUAGUAAUUUUUGCUUUAUUUUGUAAAAGAGAAAAUAUAAAGCAUGACUUAAUUAUUCCCCAGGCUAAUUAGCCUAACGUAGAUGCAUAGCACCACCUUCUGCAAACAGGUCUAAAAAGAUAACUGAUGCUGCAGGGUUGGCUCCUUGUGAUCUGACCUCUAGCAUGCUUAUUAACAAACACAGCAUGGUGGAUUAAAGACCUGAGGUUUAAUUAAAUGAAUUGAAUCUGUAUAAUUUCGUUUUCUGGAAGGGCAAAAAAAAGAAAGUGAGCUCCUGUCAAAAACUGUCAAAAUGCGUGAAGAACUUUACAUGCAACAUUUCAAACAAAUCCCUUCUCAAAAAUCUCUCUCAGUUAAAAAAAAAAUAUAUAAAUAUUUUUAUGUUUAGGAAAGGUGAAAAUAAUUCAUGAGAUAACUGUUAAAACAAGAAAAAGUAUAAAGGAUUCUAUUUAGGCUUUAAAGGAGAAAACGUUGUAUGCCACAAAUGCAGAUGUGAUAGGUGUGGUACUAUAGACCGUCAGCAGCAGCCCUGAAAUGAGUCUCUGCUAAUGAUUGUGCCUCUUUUAAAAAGAGGAAGUGUGACUAGAGUCUCCCCUUCUGCAUCCAAAACUAGAAGUGAUCUUUCACAGACGGCUUUAUUACUGUGACCUUCGUCUGACAUUUCAUACUGAGGGUUACAAUCAAUACAGAUCUGUCCAUGAAUGAAAAACACUUAAACACAUUAAACAUAUGAGUAGCACUCAGCAUGUCUUCAGUUGAUUAACCUCUGAGGUGAUAG
Clarias gariepinus (North African catfish) is the source of this 1543-nucleotide long non-coding RNA. RefSeq lists it as uncharacterized. The transcript has 3 exons. The record is from RefSeq and is a predicted model, not a curated record. NCBI's taxonomy places the organism in Eukaryota, Metazoa, Chordata, Actinopteri, Siluriformes, Clariidae.